This 492-nucleotide ribosomal RNA is filed under the name uncultured bacterium. Its description in RNAcentral is "partial 16S ribosomal RNA". It matches the Rfam family "Bacterial small subunit ribosomal RNA", at positions 29 to 507 of the family's 1533-position model. The record is from RNAcentral.
AGUGAACGCUGGCGGUAGGCCUAACACAUGCAAGUCGAACGGCAGCACAGUAAUAGCUUGCUCUUACGGGUGGCGAGUGGCGGACGGGUGAGGAAUACAUCGGAAUCUACUUUUUCGUGGGGGAUAACGUAGGGAAACUUACGCUAAUACCUCAUACGACCUACGGGUGAAAGCAGGGGAUCUUCGGACCUUGCGCGAUUGAAUGAGCCGAUGUCGGAUUAGCUAGUUGGCGGGGUAAAGGCCCACCAGGGCGACGAUCCGUAGCUGGUCUGAGAGGAUGAUAAGCCACACUGGAACUGAGACACGGUCCAGACUCCUACGGGAGGCAGCAGUGGGGAAUAGUGGACAAUGGGCGCAAGCCUGAUCCAGCCAUACCGCGUGGGUGAAGAAGGCCUUCGGGUUGUAAAGCCCUUUUGUUGGGAAAGAAAAGCAGCAGGUUAAUACCCCGCUGUUCUGACGGUACCCAAAGAAUAAGCACCGGCUAACUUCGUG